UGGGGAAUAUUGGACAAUGGGCGCAAGCCUGAUCCAGCCAUGCCGCGUGAGUGAUGAAGGCCCUAGGGUUGUAAAGCUCUUUCACCGGUGAAGAUAAUGACGGUAACCGGAGAAGAAGCCCCGGCUAACUUCGUGCCAGCAGCCGCGGUAAUACGAAGGGGGCUAGCGUUGUUCGGAUUUACUGGGCGUAAAGCGCACGUAGGCGGACUAUUAAGUCAGGGGUGAAAUCCCGGGGCUCAACCCCGGAACUGCCUUUGAUACUGGUAGUCUUGAGUUCGAGAGAGGUGAGGGGAAUUCCGAGUGUAGAGGUGAAAUUCGGAGAUAUUCGGAGGAACACCAGGGGCGAAGGCGGCUCACUGGCUCGAUACUGACGCUGGGGUGCGAAAGCGUGGGGAGCAAACAGG
RNAcentral lists this ribosomal RNA (404 nucleotides) under Actinomycetes bacterium. Its description in RNAcentral is "Actinobacteria bacterium partial 16S ribosomal RNA". It matches the Rfam family "Bacterial small subunit ribosomal RNA", at positions 355 to 776 of the family's 1533-position model. The record is from RNAcentral. Lineage: Bacteria; Bacillati; Actinomycetota; Actinomycetes.